GAUGAACGCUGGCGGCGUGCCUAAUACAUGCAAGUCGAGCGAACAGACGAGGAGCUUGCUCCUCUGACGUUAGCGGCGGACGGGCGAGUAACACGUGGAUAACCUACCUAUAAGACUGGGAUAACUUCGGGAAACCGGAGCUAAUACCGGAUAAUAUAUUGAACCGCAUGGUUCAAUAGUGAAAGACGGUUUUGCUGUCACUUAUAGAUGGAUCCGCGCCGCAUUAGCUAGUUGGUAAGGUAACGGCUUACCAAGGCAACGAUGCGUAGCCGACCUGAGAGGUUGAUCGACCACACUGGAACUGAGACACGGUCCAGACUCCUACGGGAGGCAGCAGUAGGGAAUCUUCCGCAAUGGGCGAAAGCUUGACGGAGCAACGCCGCGUGAGUGAUGAAGGUCUUCGGAUCGUAAAACUCUGUUAUUAGGGAAGAACAAAUGUGUAAGUAACUAUGCACGUCUUGACGGUACCUAAUCAGAAAGCCACGGCUAACUACGUG
Molecule: ribosomal RNA, 497 nt
Filed under: uncultured bacterium
Lineage: Bacteria
Description: partial 16S ribosomal RNA
Rfam family: Bacterial small subunit ribosomal RNA
Source: RNAcentral